GAUGAACGCUGACAGAAUGCUUAACACAUGCAAGUCUUUGGCGAAGCUGUGCUUGCACAGCCUAGCCAAGGCGGACGGGUGAGUAACGCGUAAGGAACUUGCCCUGCAGUCAGGGAUAACAGACGGAAACGACUGAUAAGACCUGGUAAAGUCAGGCGGACUCAUGUCCAGCCUGAUGAAAAGAGAUGCUGCAGGAGAGCCUUGCGUCCUAUUAGCUUGUUGGUGGGGUAACGGCACACCAAGGCGAUGAUAGGUAGCCGGCCUGAGAGGGUGGACGGCCACAAGGGGACUGAUAUACGGCCCUUACUCCUGCGGGAGGCAGCAGUGGAGAAUAUUGGACUAGGGGGGCAACCCUGAUCCAGAAAUUCUGUGUGCACGAUGAAGGUUUUCGGAUUGUAAAGUGCUUUCAGCAGAGAAGAAAAAAAUGACGGUACCUGCAGAAGAAGCGACGGCUAAAUACGUG
Molecule: ribosomal RNA, 463 nt
Filed under: uncultured bacterium
Lineage: Bacteria
Description: partial 16S ribosomal RNA
Rfam family: Bacterial small subunit ribosomal RNA
Source: RNAcentral